CUACGGGUUGCUGCAGUGAGGAAUAUUGCACAAUGGGGGGAACCCUGAUGCAGCAACGCCGCGUGGAGGAUGACGCAUUUCGGUGUGUAAACUCCUUUUAUAUGUCAAGGAAAUGACGGUAGCAUAUGAAUAAGCACCGGCUAACUCCGUGCCAGCAGCCGCGGUAAUACGGAGGGUGCAAGCGUUACUCGGAAUCACUGGGCGUAAAGGACGCGUAGGCGGGUUGGAAAGUCAGGUGUGAAAUCCUACAGCUUAACUGUAGAACUGCACUUGAAACUUCUAAUCUAGAGUAUGGGAGGGGGAGAUGGAAUUAGUGGUGUAGGGGUAAAAUCCGUAGAUAUCACUAGGAAUGCCUAAAGCGAAGGCGAUCUCCUGGAACAUUACUGACGCUAAGGCGUGAAAGCGUGGGGAGCAAACAGGAUUAGAUACCCCGGUAGUC
Molecule: ribosomal RNA, 439 nt
Filed under: uncultured bacterium
Lineage: Bacteria
Description: partial 16S ribosomal RNA
Rfam family: Bacterial small subunit ribosomal RNA
Source: RNAcentral